This 254-nucleotide ribosomal RNA is filed under the name uncultured bacterium. RNAcentral's name for it is "partial 16S ribosomal RNA". It matches the Rfam family "Bacterial small subunit ribosomal RNA", at positions 524 to 776 of the family's 1533-position model. The record is from RNAcentral.
UACGUAGGGGGCAAGCGUUGUCCGGAAUCAUUGGGCGUAAAGAGCGUGUAGGCGGCCCGAUAAGUCCGCUGUGAAAGUCCAGGGCUCAACCCUGGGAUGCCGGUGGAUACUGUCGGGCUCGAGUCCGGAAGAGGCGAGUGGAAUUCCUGGUGUAGCGGUGAAAUGACGUAGAUAUCGAGAGGAACACCUGCGGCGAAGGCGGGUUGCUGGGCUGAUACUGACGCUGAGGCGCGAAAGCCAGGGGAGCGAACGGG